AUUGAACGCUGGCGGCAUGCUUUACACAUGCAAGUCGAACGGUAACAGGCCGCAGGGUGCUGACGAGUGGCGAACGGGUGAGUAAUGCAUCGGAACGUGCCCAGUCGUGGGGGAUAACGCAGCGAAAGCUGUGCUAAUACCGCAUACGAUCUAUGGAUGAAAGCGGGGGACCGUAAGGCCUCGCGCGAUUGGAGCGGCCGAUGUCAGAUUAGGUAGUUGGUGGGGUAAAGGCUCACCAAGCCGACGAUCUGUAGCUGGUCUGAGAGGACGACCAGCCACACUGGGACUGAGACACGGCCCAGACUCCUACGGGAGGCAGCAGUGGGGAAUUUUGGACAAUGGGCGCAAGCCUGAUCCAGCAAUGCCGCGUGCAGGAAGAAGGCCUUCGGGUUGUAAACUGCUUUUGUACGGAACGAAAAGGCUCUGGUUAAUACCUGGGGCUCAUGACGGUACCGUAAGAAUAAGCACCGGCUAACUACGUGCCAGCCGCCGCGGUAA
RNAcentral lists this ribosomal RNA (498 nucleotides) under uncultured bacterium. RNAcentral's name for it is "partial 16S ribosomal RNA". It matches the Rfam family "Bacterial small subunit ribosomal RNA", at positions 30 to 523 of the family's 1533-position model. The record is from RNAcentral.